This 2779-nucleotide long non-coding RNA is filed under the name Equus caballus (horse). RNAcentral describes it as "lncRNA (ENSECAG00000047552.1)". The record is from RNAcentral. Lineage: Eukaryota; Metazoa; Chordata; Mammalia; Perissodactyla; Equidae.
CAUGUGUUCAGCAAACAUUGUAUAUAGAGUAAUCCUUUAGGUUCCCAGAUUCUGUAAUUCUUACCAGAUGAACUUAGAUUUGGAUGAAGGGUGAGCACUUGCUUUAAUAUGUGCAAUAACAAUACAAUCGUGUUCUGUGCUGCCUCAACCAGCACAUAGACAGUAGAUUCUCUUUAGGGGACCAGAUGACUGCAUGUUUUAUUCUUACACUGUAUAGAUGCUCUUGGUGCAUCCAGAAUAAAAUUUUUAUCAUAUUUCUGAAUAAUGUAAUAAUAGGAGUAAAUAGAUAUGUAUUUAAAAUCCAAACAUUUUCCAAAGCAACUUAUAUACCUUCAAUAUUUUUCAAUGAUAAUAUAUAAGAUCAGAUGCUGUACCCUGGACAGGUGGUUGUAAUGUAACAGCAAAAGCCAAACAAAAGUGCAAAUAUGAGCUGUGCAUCAUAACAGCAAGUUCUAUCAGUCUGUUUUAGGAUAUUGUUGCAUUAAAUUGGAUCUAGCAGAUAGAGGAGCUUAUGAUAAAGGCAAAUAGGCUCACAAAAGGCAGAUGACAAUACCAAAGCUACUAGUGUUCCACAUCGACACAAAUAGUACUUAGAAUGGUUCAGACAUAGACGUUGAACAGAGACACAUCCUUCAUUGUUAAAAUGGAAAAUUUCUAUUAUGACACUGGUUUCAUUGCACAUUACGUUUAGGAGUACAAUAUCCUAAGUAUUCAGUUAAAAAAAAAUUGCGUGGAUCAGAGCAAGAGAAUUAGAAAAUUUGGGGUUUUAAAGUGCUCCUAAGAAUAAAUAUGUACUCCUGGAGUACCCAGCACUUUAAUAGAAAUAUUAAUUAUGACCACUAACUAAAGUGCCAUUUUGAAAAUUAAUCUUCUUGGAGCCCAAAUGCAAAUCACAGCUUCCUUUAAAUUUAAGGCGAUUCUUUUCACCUGUGAGAUCUGGCCCAUUUGUGUUCUAUUUUAAAUAACUAAAUUCUUUUAGAAAACUUUUUUUUAAUGAAUCUUCAGAGCAGUGACUGUUUUUCAAGUGUGCGGUGGUGGGUCGUAGUGAAAUUAUUUGUCAUAUUCCUAAUGAAUUCUAGUAUCUUGUAUAAUUUUUAUCUUUUAAACUAUUUUAUCUGAGUCUCUUUUCCAAAAUUUUAUGUAGGUAAUGAGAAAAUUUGCCUAGAAUGUACAUGUCAUACAUGGAUAACUUUAUGAUGUUUUGUAAUUAUCUGAAUGCUGUGUUUCAAUACUUUGUUACAUACAAGAGUAUUUCUCUUGUGAUCUUGACAGAAAGGAACAGAAGAAAGAACACUCUUCUGGAAAGCACUCUAGGAUGAGUCUCUGAGCUCUGUCUCGGAUUUUGAAUCUAGCUUUGCCACAAUUGCAGUGUAACUUCAGACUCUCUAUUGAGUAAGGGAGACUGGACUUUGUCACUAAAGCAGCAUCAGGAUUGUUGUUGAUCACAGCGCUAUUGGUAUCAUCGAUCCCUCCUUUGCUCCUCAACUUUCUCCAACCAAAGUAUGGUGGGAAAGAAUCCUGAUGAGGCCAAGAUUGAGUAAAUAGGAAGAACAGCUAGCAAACUAUGCAAAACCACAACAAAGAGUCAUUAUGAAUUUCAUAUCAAAGAAAGUUUCAUAGACCUAAGUCUUUAAUAUUGGCAUACUUUGUCACAGCUAUGCAUUGUCAGUUUAUACAAAAGCGGAAUGUACUUUCAUUAAAAUAAAGACUAUUUAACACAUACCGUAUCUAGAAAAAUAGUGGCUAGGAUUGUUUUAUGAUCUCUGCGGGAAUGUUUCAUGUUGUGAUUUUUGAGAUUCUUUUUCAGAGAAGGUAUAAAUGUAGUGUUUGUUUACAUUUCAUUUUGGUUGACGGCACUGGCAUCUUCCACUGAGCAGUCAUUUUCCACCCUGGAACCUAUUUACAGUUAAAGCAAGACAGAACAUGCGUUUCAUAUCAGGAACUAACUGAUUGUUACCAUAUUGAAAUUGGAAAUAAGUUUAGAACCAUUUCUACCCUGAAACAUCCAUUAUAGUUUAUUGAAAAAGCAAUGACUCUUAGAAGUGCUUGAUACUCAGACAACACAAAUUAAAAUGUGCAUAUUUAUGGUAUAUUGAAAACUGUAGAUUUCUUUGUACUCAAUGUUCUAGUGACUUUGUUUACACUAGUUGCAGCAUUUUGUAUACUAUAACGCAAAUUCUUGACAAUAACACUGUUACCAUGGGAAUUUACUUUUGCAAAUUCGUAAAUGUUUUUGCCACUGCAACCAUAUUUGUGAGAAUGUGGGGUAUUAAAAAUGCCUCUGUCUAUAAGGGUUAAUUCACUGGAAACAAUUGAUUCAUAUAUUGGCCAAGGAAACAAUGUGAAAAUUUUAUGUGAUGUUUUUAAUAGCAUUGUGCUAAGCAGUAGUUGUUUGCUCUUUUCAAAAUCUAAUUCAUGCUUAGCAGAUCAUUUUUUCUACUUAAACACAGGUAUUGUGACGUGUAAUAUAGAAAUUUUGUAUGUACUGUCGACCUAUCACCUGAUUGCCGGGAGGAUGUGUGCAAGUAUUUAAACUCUGUGACUUUAGGAUCAAUUCUGGAAUACUUGUGAUCGAAGUCUGAUUGCUUCUGGGAAGUUUGUGGUGAUUAUCACUUUAUUUAAAAUUGGUUCUCAAGAAAUAGUCAUUUUAAAAAGUGAAUUGGCAGGUGGAAGUUUCUAACCCAAAAGAAUUCUGGGUUUCAGCACAAUAAACUGUUAUUUCAUCAGGGAGGAUUAACUUUGAUUUUUUUCACACUUUAUUUAAAUGUGAAUAUUUUUU